This 75-nucleotide transfer RNA is filed under the name Candidatus Magasanikbacteria bacterium CG10_big_fil_rev_8_21_14_0_10_36_16. Its description in RNAcentral is "tRNA-Arg". It matches the Rfam family "tRNA". From Rfam's summary of the family: Transfer RNA (tRNA) molecules are approximately 80 nucleotides in length. Their secondary structure includes four short double-helical elements and three loops (D, anti-codon, and T loops). Lineage: Bacteria; Candidatus Magasanikiibacteriota. The record is from RNAcentral.
GCGCCUGUAGUUCAACGGAUAGAACAUUGGUCUUCGGAACCAAUGACGUGGGUUCGAUUCCUGCCAGGCGUACAA